This 66-nucleotide transfer RNA is filed under the name Metacanthus pulchellus. RNAcentral's name for it is "tRNA-Gly". Lineage: Eukaryota; Metazoa; Arthropoda; Insecta; Hemiptera; Berytidae. The record is from RNAcentral.
ACUUUUUUAUUAUAAAAAUUAUAUUUGACUUCCAAUCAAAAGAUCUUGAGAUACCAAGAAAAAGUA